RNAcentral lists this transfer RNA (75 nucleotides) under Patescibacteria group bacterium. RNAcentral's name for it is "tRNA-Arg". It matches the Rfam family "tRNA". From Rfam's summary of the family: Transfer RNA (tRNA) molecules are approximately 80 nucleotides in length. Their secondary structure includes four short double-helical elements and three loops (D, anti-codon, and T loops). The record is from RNAcentral.
GCACUCGUAGUUCAACGGAUAGAAUGUGGGCCUCCGAAGCCUAAGAUCCAGGUUCGAUUCCUGGCGGGUGCACCA